RNA transcript from Myotis myotis, 3861 nucleotides. It is a transcript of the gene named cleavage and polyadenylation specific factor 7, with no coding region annotated. The transcript has 11 exons. NCBI's taxonomy places the organism in Eukaryota, Metazoa, Chordata, Mammalia, Chiroptera, Vespertilionidae. The record is from RefSeq and is a predicted model, not a curated record.
GGGGAGGGGGGAGGCGGGAUCGGGGGGCCGUGAGCGGUUCGCGCGCUUCGGGCCUAGUCCGGACUCGCCGCCUCCGCCGCCAUAUUCCCGUGGCGUCUUCCUUACUUUGUCCGUGUCCCGGGCUCGCGAUCUGCCUUCCGGAGCCAUGUCCGAAGGAGUGGACCUGAUUGACAUCUACGCCGACGAGGAGUUCAAUCAGGACCCAGAGUUCAACAGUACAGAUCAGCUCGAUCUGUACGACGACGUGCUGGCAGCCGCCUCACAGCCCUCGGAUGACAGAAGCAGCAGCACGGAGCCGCCUCCUCCUGUCCGCCAGGAGCCGCCUCCCAAGCCCAGUAACAAGACCCCUGCGAUUCUGUACACCUACAGCGGCCUGCGCAACAGGCGGGCCGCUGUGUAUGUGGGCAGCUUCUCCUGGUGGACCACAGACCAGCAGCUGAUCCAGGUUAUUCGCUCUAUCGGAGUCUAUGACGUGGUGGAGUUGAAAUUUGCAGAGAAUCGAGCAAAUGGCCAGUCCAAAGGGUAUGCUGAGGUAGUGGUAGCCUCUGAAAACUCUGUCCACAAACUGUUAGAACUCCUGCCGGGAAAAGUUCUUAAUGGAGAAAAAGUCGACGUGAGGCCAGCCACCAGGCAGAACCUGUCACAGUUUGAGGCACAGGCUCGGAAACGUGAGUGCGUCCGAGUCCCAAGAGGGGGAAUACCUCCACGGGCUCACUCCCGAGAUUCGAGUGAUUCUGCGGAUGGACGGGCCACGCCCUCUGAGAACCUUGUGCCCUCAUCUGCCCGUGUGGAUAAGCCCCCCAGUGUGCUGCCCUACUUCAACCGCCCUCCGUCAGCCCUCCCCCUGAUGGGUCUGCCCCCACCUCCAAUUCCACCCCCACCACCUCUCUCCUCAAGCUUCGGGGUCCCUCCUCCUCCUCCUGGCAUCCACUACCAGCAUCUCAUGCCCCCUCCUCCUCGAUUACCUCCUCAUCUGGCUGUACCUCCCCCUGGGGCCAUCCCACCUGCCCUUCACCUCAACCCAGCCUUCUUCCCCCCACCAAAUGCUACAGUGGGGCCUCCACCAGAUACAUACAUGAAGGCCUCGGCCCCCUAUAACCACCACGGCAGCCGGGACUCGGGCCCUCCGCCCUCUACAGUGAGUGAAGCAGAAUUUGAAGAGAUCAUGAAGCGAAACAGAGCAAUUUCCAGCAGUGCCAUUUCCAAAGCAGUAGCUGGAGCCAGUGCAGGGGAUUACAGUGACGCGAUCGAGACGCUGCUCACGGCCAUAGCUGUUAUCAAACAGUCCCGGGUCGCCAAUGACGAGCGUUGCCGUGUCCUCAUCUCCUCCCUUAAGGACUGUCUUCAUGGCAUUGAAGCCAAGUCCUACAGCGUGGGUGCCAGCGGGAGCUCGUCCAGGAAAAGGCAUCGGUCCCGAGAGAGGUCACCUAGCCGGUCCCGGGAGAGCAGCAGGAGGCACCGGGACCUGCUCCACAACGAGGACCGGCAUGACGACUAUUUCCAAGAAAGGAACCGGGAGCACGAGAGGCACCGGGACAGAGAGCGGGACCGGCACCACUGAGAAAGUGGAAACUGGGCUUUCUGUUCAAUUUUGAUCCAGUGCAAAUAUUCAGAAGCCCGAAUGGUGUGACAUUGAGAAAGCAUCGAAGGCUUCAGUUUUCCCCACAGAAAAUGGGACAAAACCUGCCUGCGGAGGUGUUUGGAGAAGCCAGAGGAGAGAGGCCACACCUGAUUCUGGGGCUGAAACUGCUGUUUCGGAGUAGAAGGAUCACACAGCUUGGGGGUGUCUUGUUUUCUGUGUAGCUCCUUCAGCAUACACAAGUGCAUACAUAAAGGGAGUCGGUCGGAAGCAAAUGUUUUUUAAUGGACUUGCAUCUCCUCACCUCGAUCAGGACUAAAGGACGGAGGCCGCUCCACCCCUUCCCUUCCCUCCAAGCCCCUCCCCUCCAGACACCCAGGGAAUGCCCUCUGCCCACAGGAUUGAAGACUGCGGCCCUCCCAGUCCCACACCUCCUGUUUGCUGGGGGAGAGAGCCUAAAGACUGCAUGGUUGGGAGGGGAGGCAGACAUGAAGAGGCAGGUCCAGGCCCUGGUCUCCGUAGAGAAUGGUGCUUUGUUCAAGGAAACGUGAGUUUCUGAUUCUCCAGGAGCAGUUGAGUGGUGAGGUCCAUGGGAAGACUUCCUUCUCAAAGAAAAGGAGUCCUUCCAGUGGGAUCUAGGAGAGCAGUGGGGGCGCCAGGGGGUGCCCAGGUCCUGCCCUCAGCACUAGGUUUGAUGGGGCCAAGAGGGUCCAGACCCCUUGCUAACACCACUUUGUCUGACUCCUUUCCUGCCCAGCCCUUUGAGGAGGGACCAUGAGAACAGAAAUUCAGGAACAGCUUCUCUUACUCUUGCUUUUCCUUCUUAUGAUUGACGGUUUGUUUCCCUGGCCUCCCAGAGGUGGACGCCUUCCUGCUCCUGCUGCUCAGCUUCUCCGAGGACUUGCCCUCGGGUGUGGAGCAGGCCCAGGGGGCGCUGCCUGCUGGGGGCCUCCUGUGGAGCAGGCCCAGGAAGCGCUGUCCGCCGGGAGCCCUGCGGAGCCAGUGCCCGCCCUCUGCCUCCCGCUCUGCUUAGGGCUUGGUUGCCUCUUGCAGUAACCAGCUCUACCAGGUGUUCUGUUCCCCGGGCUUCACCAUUUCGCACGGGAGCCCUUCCCCCGAGGGCAGCUUCCUUGUUUUAGAGGAAGGUAUUGCCGCUGGGAGUGGGGGCAGCGGACCUCAGCAGCGCAGAGCCCUGGUGCAGUGCCAGGAUGGGAGGAGGCCCGGCAGGCGGGGCACGGCCUGCUUCCAUCGCCUUGCUUCUGUGUUCAGGUUUGAUGUAAGCACGGGCUUGCACCCCCAGUACCAGUUUCACUUACUAGGGGGGAACCUGACACUAGCAGACAGGGAAAGUCACAAGUGGGGUGUCUUCCCACUGUUUGACUAUUGACCUCCUAUCUCCCCGUGCUCUGCCCGGAGGUACUUCCUGCCUCUGAUGAGCAGGGAAGAAGUGGAGCCCGACUUGGAGCUCCGUGUUCUAAGGACCACCGUGGGGCCAUUUUCCACACCGGCAUGGAAUUGGCGUAUGGAAUUGCUUUUCCCGUAACAUCUACAUGUGAUGUUCUGAUUGCUGAGGAGGCAGCAGCCACAGGGCCCUGCAGUGCCCAGGGGGCGGUGGGUGCUGUUUGCGCAUCUAGAGGGCACGCAGCAUCUAACGAGACGUGGCGUGUGAGGUGAGGCGUGGCGUGUGAGGCGUAGGGUCAGUGGAGACCCUGGUGGCUCAGGGAGAGACUGAGUUGAACUGAACCCUCCUCUCCCCUGCACGCUUCUGACCCAGCCCUCCAGUCCCUGAGGUCGGGGCCCCCGGCUGGAGAGGCACAUUCCCUUGGGACAGGCUACAGGUUGUAGCUGCUUUCCCGUCCCAGGUCCCAUCCCCACCGCUGCCUCAGAACAUGGCGCCCUGCCUGCGGUCCGAGUGCGAGGUACUGGGCGUGUCCUCGAGAGCAGCUCCUGUGUCUACAGCGUAGAGACCCAGUAAGGGGACGGUGAGGAACGUAUAGAGCGCAGGAAAGCCGUUUACCCGGGAGCUUUUUCUCCCCAUUUUUGUUUUGUUUUUAUUCAAUGACACCAUUUUUAGUUUUGUUUCCUGAUAGCAAAAGGAAAAAAACCCAAUCCUCAAAAAGGCCAAGGCCCCGUCCCCCUGUUGUCGGUGAUCUGUUUGUCUUUCUGAUAGGUUGAAAAUUGUGUAAUAAACUUGAUGACGCUGUCAAUCUUUUAUACUGCAUUGUAUUUUUUUCCUUUUGUAACAAAGUAUUUUUAAUAAAUGGGGUGUGAGCUAUUCUGUG